GACGAACGCUGGCGGCGUGCUUAACACAUGCAAGUCGAACGAAGAGCGAUGGAAGCUUGCUUCUAUCAAUCUUAGUGGCGCACGGGUGAGUAACGCGUAAUCAACCUUCCCUUCAGAGGGGGACAACAGUUGGAAACGACUGCUAAUACCGCAUACGAUCCAAUCUCGGCAUCGGGACUGGAUGAAAGGUGGCCUCUAUUUAUAAGCUAUCACUGAAGGAGGGGAGUGCGUCUGAUUAGCUAGUUGGAGGGGUAACGGCCCACCAAGGCGAUGAUCAGUAGCCGGUCUGAGAGGAUGAACGGCCACAUUGGGACUGAGACACGGCCCAGACUCCUACGGGAAGCAGCAGUGGGGAAUCUUCCGCAAUGGACGAAAGUCUGACGGAGCAACGCCGCGUGAGUGAUGACGGCCUUCGGGUUGUAAAGCUCUGUUAAUCGGGACGAAUGGUUCUUGUGCGAAUAGUGCGAGGAUUUGACGGUACCGGAAUAGAAAGCCACGGCUAACUACGUG
RNAcentral lists this ribosomal RNA (510 nucleotides) under uncultured bacterium. RNAcentral's name for it is "partial 16S ribosomal RNA". It matches the Rfam family "Bacterial small subunit ribosomal RNA", at positions 28 to 507 of the family's 1533-position model. The record is from RNAcentral.